Molecule: long non-coding RNA, 24919 nt
Filed under: Populus trichocarpa (black cottonwood)
Lineage: Eukaryota; Viridiplantae; Streptophyta; Magnoliopsida; Malpighiales; Salicaceae
Description: long non-coding RNA (PTRI_LNC002268)
Source: RNAcentral
CCUCUUGAUGGUGCUAGCAUAGGUUUGAUGCCAGUUAGUCAUGAAGAGCCUGGGGAUUUCACCUUGUCUUUCCAUAGAUCUAAUGAUUACUCUGCUCAUUCCUUCUCUAGUACCGACUCAAUCCUCAGCUGUGGUCGUUGAAUCAUGGCUUAACGAGGUAAAAAUUCUUUAAUCUAAAGACUAACAGCUGGCAUGUGGAAGGUAGAUUGGAAUACUUAGAGGGUUACCUUGUUUGUGCAUACCAUAGUAAUCCUCAAAGCACAACAAAGACUGCUCCAUGAGGGGUUAAUUAAUUAGCAUACAAACAUAGGUAUAAUUUAUGAUUUAAGCAAAACACAUGGUUGAAAUAGUACAAUGUUUGAUGUACAAUGCUGGUCAAUGAUGGCCGUGUAGCUUCUUCCAUUCUCCUCAGUGCUCUAACCCCACCCCACAAUUCAACUCAACUAUGCCUCAUUCCCAAACUAGUUAGAAUCAGUUUCACAGAUCUUCCUUCUCCAUUCAUUUAGUCCUUGUUCCUUUUUUGAUAAAACUCUCCACUUACUUCUGUUAUGGACUCAAAUGAUUAAUCACCUAUGCCUACCUCGUUUUUACAUGGAAGGUUAAUUACAUAUUGAAAUAUUCUGACUUCUGAUAUAGUGAUCUGCAGAAGCAUAGGCUUCAGUCAACUUUCUAAAAUACAGAAAAUCCAACACCCAGUAUCAUCGAUUAUCCUAACUAGAGUGCAGUUCAGUGUGAUAUAGCUGCUGGCUGGGUGGUUUAUUCACAGACUAGUAGUGGAAUAAAAAAAAUGGUGAUAAGGUAUCUUGAUGCUGAUGUUAUACACACAUAUAACUGUUUUAAUCUUUCUACAAACAGUCAAGAUUGCAAAAACCACGUUCAAGGAAGAAAGAAGAUAUAGACAGCAGCUUUGUAGGUUGAAAAGGGAUUAAAACACCAGCCAAGAAAAAGUAAAAGAAACAUUGCAACAAAAUUUGCAAUAAGAAGGCAGCAAUAUUAAUAACCCUGCUUUCAGAAAGAGUGUACAUAGUCAAUUACCUAAUGAAAAGGCUAGAGAUGUCUGAUCAAUAAGUUUCCAUCAUUUCUCCUGGUUAUUGGGUCACAGCUUGUUGCAGAUGAGGCAGCGCAACCUCUUGGGACAGAGUACGUUCACUUGCUGUGCAGCCUUUCCUGCAUCCAACUACCCUUAGUGAUUAAACAGACUCUAAUUUAUCAAGCAUGGAGAUUAGUUGUAAUGAUCAACUUUAAUUCUAAUUUGGGUCCCUCAAAGAACUUACACAGAGCAAGGUAAACAUGAAGUGACUUGAUUCCAUCUUAGGAAAAACAAGCUCAUACUGGAAAAGAUUUAACAGACAUUAGCCUCCCCGAAAAAUACCACAAAAAAAAAAAAAAACAAAAACAAAAGGAAGUUGAUACAGAUGCAGGAUAGCCAUCAACGUGAAAAUUACCGGUACUGAUGUGUUCAUAUGAACUUAUGGUGCCCGUGUGAGCUUGGAAGAGAGAACCAACCACUCCCUUUCCUCCUGGUAAUAUCUUGCUGGUCACAGAGGUGUCAAAGGCAAGGACUGCAGCCAUGGAUCAACUGUUGUAGUGGCUGUGACUGACCAAAUCAGCUCACUAAGAUAAUCCGCCUAUAGGAAAAGAAAUGAAUCAGGGAAGGAUGAUCUGUGAGUGGUGUGGUUUUUAUUAUGAAAUAAAAGUUUGUUUUUGUAUUUUAAAAUGUUUUUUAAAAAUUUUAAUUUUGUUUUAAAUAAGUUUUUUUUAUGUUUUUAAAUAUGUUAAAAGUAAUUUUUAAAAAAAAUAUAUAUUAUUUUAAUAUAUUUUUAAACAAUAAAUACUUUAAAAAAUAACAUUAUUACACUAACAAAACAAAAUGAAAAAGCUUAAGAAAUAGCUAAUUAUCACUAAAAAGUGAAAGGGAGACAUCUUAAUGGCAAAGUGAUGGCUGAUGUGCCAAUGACAGCCAUGAAUACCACUUAUUGGGACUAUACAUAGACAAACAUCUGAUUGAUGAUGAUAGGCAGAGCUCAUGAAUAGCUUGAACCACAACCUUUUGAACAGUUCCAAGAUAUUUGAAAGUAUCUUGUGAGGUUGCAGCAAACUGGAUAAGCCACCCGUUCCGUCUUUUCCCUUUUGCAAGUAUCACAUGCUUAAUUGCUUACACAAACUAUUUAAAACUACUAAAGAAUUUUAAUAAAAGAAACGCCAGCUGAUUGCCAGUUUUGGCGAAACGUUCAAAAGGCUUUGGACAAGGUUGAAGUCGGAGACAAAUUCAAAGCUACAGUAGCCCUUAAUGCUGAUGUUUACAAAUCAUCUUCCAAUAACCCAUCUUCGACUGUUGGGAACGAGCCUUUCUUGUCAAGUUUUAAUAGCACUUGCGACAAUGUUACGUUUACGUUUCCACCAUUUCAAGACGUUCAUAAGGCUUAGGACAAUGAUGGAGUCAGAGACAAAAUCAAAGCUACAGCAGCCCUUAAUGCUGAUGUUCAUGAAUCAUCUUCCAACAAACAACCUGAUGGCAAUUUCCGUAACAACAUAAAGGAUGUCACGAUUCACACUGUGAAGUUCGUCAAAUUAAAGCUCAUAAUGGGAGAAGUUGGCUGGCCUACAGAUGGUAACAGUGCUGGCGAUUUGAAGAUCAUAAUGGGAGAAGUUGGCUGCCUACAGAUGGUAACAUUAAUGCCGACCCCAAAUUAGCUAAAACGUUCCAUGACGGUCUCUUUAAAGAAGGGAACCCCUGUCCGACGAGGUUAAUUGGAUGUGUAUCUCUUUGGCCUAAUCGAAGAAUCAGAAGAGCAUUGCACCAGGACAUUUCGAGAGACAUUGGGGGCUCUUUCGCUUCGAUGAACAGCUAAAAUUUCCAUGGAUUUAUCUGGACAAGGUGAUGAAGAGAUGCUAAUAGCAUCAUAUGGAGUCCAAUACAUGCCAUCUCAAUGGUGUGUGCUUGAUGAGGAAAAUAAGAACUUGACCAUGAUAAAAUUGAAAUCAGCUAUGCCCUGCUCUUUGGUCGUGAAUGUUGAAUAUUUAGAUAGCAUUUGGAAAUGCAGUUUUUUAAUUUUUUUAAUUUAAAAUUAUUUUUUUAUAUUUUGGAUUAUUUUGAUGUUAUGAUAUUAAAAAUUAUUUUUUAAAAAAUUAAAAUUAUUAUUUUUAUAUAUUUUUAUAUAAAAAGUAAUUUAUAAAAUAACAUCUAUCAUCUUCAAAUAUCUUCUUGCUAGAGCUCCGCCUUGGCAUGCAUGCCCACUAGGGGUGUUCACGGUUCGGUUCGGAUCGGUUUUUAUCAAAAAAAGUAACCAAACCGAAAUUUUUUUUUAAAAAAAAAAACCGAAACCGGUUCAAACCGACCGGUUUCGGUUCGGUUCGGUUCGGUUUUUUAGAGAAAAAACCGGUUCAAACCGGUUUGGCUCGGUUUUUCCGGUUUGGCUCGGUUUUUUCGGUUUGGCUCGGUUUGGCUCGGUUUUUUUCGGGUUCGGUUCGGUUCGGUUUUUCCGGUUCCAGGCUUAAAAAACCGAAACCGAACCGAACCGGUCGGUUUUUUCAAAAUUUUAAUCGGUUUAAUCGGUUUUUUUUUUCGGUUCGGUUUUUUUGGUUAUUUUUUUUCCGGUUUUCUCGGUUUAAUCGGUUUUUCGGUUUUUUUGAACACCCCUAAUGCCCACUACCCAUCUUUAUUAAUUGUGUCUAUGGUUUUGGUUAUCUUGUUUUUCUAUUUUUUUUUCUUGUAAAUGACAAGUUUCAUUAUGUAUUUUGUUUUUCAUUUAUAUAUGUUUUUAUAUUUUUCUCCAAAAUUUUAAAAUUAAAUAUUUAUUAUCAUAAAAUUUUAUUCUUGUCAAUUGUCAUAAUUCUUUGAAAAUUUUUGAAGCAUGUCAUUAUGCUUAAAGAUAUUUAAGUUUUUUAUUUAUAAAAAUAAAAUUACAUAUCUGAAAAUUUAUAUUUUUUUUAUUUUUACAAUCAUAAUUUCAUUUGAAUAAUUUAUAAUAAUGGUCGUAUAAAAAAAGAAUAGAUUAUAAUUAUAAAUUGUUUUAUAAAUGAGAAAAAACAUACAUUCAAAAAAGAUAUUAUGAAAUAUUUUUUGAAAGAAAAAACAAUUAAAGGUAAUUUUUUAAAUAUAUAAAGCACAAUUAAAUUUGAACUUUCUUGGAAGAUAAGCUAUAAAAAUAAAUUUAUUGAUCUUAAGAAUUAGCACAAGAAGAUUUAUUGACAAUUUAUCUUUAAAAAUUAAAUUUAUAGAUACUUCUUUCAACUUCCUCUUUCUCUUUCUAUUUUAAAGUUGUGUGGCACAAAAAUUACACGUUGAAGGAAAGAACGUGUGUAUAUCCUCUUUUUAAGUGUGUGUUUAGUAGUGCAUUAUAUGUUAUUUUUUAAAAGUAUUUUUAAUUUAAAAUAUAUUAAAAUAAUGUAUUUUUAUAUUAAUACAUUAAAAUUAUAAAAUAAAUUUAAAACAAAUAUUAAAUUAAUAUUUUUUUCAUAUAAAAAAUUGGCUUAACAAACAUUAUAAAAAAUAAAUCGAACCACAAAAACAAUAGCAGCCUUAAAUGCAACCAAACAUGCUUAAAGCAAGCAUUAGGUUUUAAUAAUAAUAAUAAUAAUAAGAAGCGAGCAAGGGUUGCAUACCCGAGCGAUGAUUGCAGACCCAGUUUCCAAACCCUCACCCCUAAGCUGCAGACCCACUUGCCAAGGUUUGCAGAACCCCGCGCUUGGGGUGUGCAGAACUAGGAGCGGGGUGUAGACCCACCCGUCUGGGUUUCUUCUAUUGCGCCUGAGGUCUGCAGACCCCCCAGGAGUUGUAGAACCCGUAGAGAAAAUUAACAAAUUUGAAAAAAAAAUGAAAACAAAUAUAAUAACUAAUAACAAUUAUUAUUGUUAUUGUUAUUGUUAUUAUUAUUAUUAUCGUAAAUAAAUUUUAUAAAAAUAUUAUUACUAUAAAAACUUGGACUAGACAAGUUUAAUAUUAUUAUUAUUAUACUAAAUAUUAUUGUUAUUUAUUGUUGUCAUUAGUAAAUUGAAAACAAAAUUAUUAUUUAUUGUUAUCAUUUCAGGUGGGGUUGAAUUUCCUUAUUAAAACAUGUUUUGUUUUGGUUUUUAAAAAUGCUUUGAAACAAAUUUGACAAUUUUUUAUUUUUUUCAUUACUUCAAAUUAAUAUUUUUUCUUUUAAUUCAUAUUAAGAUGUUUUUGUAUUAUUUUGAUGUGAUUAUAUAAAAAAUAGAUUUAAAACAAUAAAAAAUAUUAUCUCAAUAUAUUUCAAAAAAAAUAUUUUAAGAUAUUUUCAAUUUUAUUUUUUUCCCUCUUCAAAUAUUUUUUUCUCUUAUUGAUUUUUUUCAUACUGUAAAGAGAAAAUAAAUUAAUGUGACUUUUUUUUAUAUUAUACAAAAGUUGGGUGAUGAUAAUUUUUUUUCAUUUCAAGUUGGGUUGAAUUUUCUUAUUAAAGUAUGUUUGGUUUUGCGAUUCAAAAAUGGUUUGAAAAAAAUUUAAAUUUUUUUUAUUGUUUUCUUUACUUCAAAUUAAUAUUUUUUAUGUUUUUAUAUUUUGUUUUUAAAUAUAUUGAGAUUGAGUCUGGUUGCAUAGCCACACCAAAAAGAAUAUAUUAAGUUGGGUCCUAUCCAGCAGGACCCAAAAUAGCUUUGGGUCCAGCCGCCGCUGGACCCAUCAGCCUUGGGUCUUGUCCCUAACAGGAUCCAUCAGCGUUAAGUCCUGCUCCUAGCAGGACCCAUCACUAUUUUUUUUUUUUUCUUUUCUAUUGGGUCAGGCAUUUUCUUCCAGAACCAAGAAACUUGGGUAAGAAACGACGCCUCACCCAAGGAGCUUGGGUGUGGCUAGGCACAGACCCAAAUCCAAAUCCCUUUGGUCUUAAAGACCCGCCUGGCCCAAGAUUAUUGGUCCUUCGUCAGGACCUAAGGCUAAUGGGUUAUGCGUCAGGAAUCAAGGCUAAUAGGUCGUGAGUCAAAACCCAAUGUUCUUGGGUCCUGUGUCAGGACCCAAUUUCCUUAGGUUAUGUCAGGACCCAAAACUAAUGGAUGUGACAUCAAGACCCAAGAUUCUUGGAUCUUAGAUUUCUAAAUAUAAUUAUUUAUGAUAUAAAUAUAAUUAUUUUUAUUAUAAUUAAAAGUACUAAUAUUAAAAAUAGUAUUAUUUGUGAUAUAAAUAUUACUAUUUUUAAAAUAAUUAAUAAAUUUGAAAAACAUUAUUAUCAGUAUUGAAAAACAACUAUAGAUUUCAUUUGAAGUGUAAAAUAAUUAAUAAUAAUAAUAAUAAUUAAAUUUUAAAAAAAUAUUAUUAUUAUCGAAGAAAAAACAUAUUUUUUUUAAGAUUAAAAAAAUAAAAAAUUUGGCUGACAAGUUAAAUAUUAAUAUUAAUAUUAUAAAUAUUAUUGUUGGAUUUAGCGUUGCAGCCAGACGCAACGCUCAUGGGUUCGUCGUUGCAGCCAAACUCAACACUUUUAGAUCUUAGAUUUUUAUUAUAUCUUUUUAUUAAAAUAAAAGGUGAGCCCGGGCCGUAGUGCGGGCAAAUAAGAAAAAUGAAAAAAAUAUCAAUUAUUAUUAUUAUUAUUAUCGUUAAUAAACUUUUUUAAAAACAUUUUUACUAUAAAAAAUUUGGCCAGACAAGUUCAAUACUAUUAUUAAUAUGAUAAAUAUAAUUAUUUGUAUUCUAAAUAUUAUUAUUUUUAUUAUAAUUAAAAGUAUUAGUGUUAGAAAUAUUAUUAUUUGUGAUAUAAAUAUUAUGAUUUUUUUUAUAAUUAAUAUUAUUAAUAUUAAAAAUACUAUUUUUUAUUAUAAAUAUUAUAAUUUUUAUUAUAAUUAAUAUUAUUCUUAUAAUAAUUAAUAAAUUUGUAGAAAAUAUUAUUAAUAUUGAAAAAAAUAGAUUUAAUUUGAAGGGUAAAAUUAAGAAUUAUUAUUACUAUUAUUGUUGUUGUUAUUGUCAUUACUAGAUUUUAAAACAAAAUUACUAUUGUCAUAGAAGAAAAGCAUAAUUAUUUUUUAAAAGAUUGAAAAAUAUGAGAAUUUGGGCAGAGAAGUUAAAUAUUAUUAUUAAUAUUAUAAAUAUUAUUAAAUUCAUUAAUAUUAUUACAAUAAAAAUAAAUAUUAUUGCUAUUAAAGAAAACAUAGAUUUGAUUUGAAGGGUAAAAUCAAUUAUUAUUAUUGUUAUUGUUAUUGUUAUUAUUGUUAUUAUUAUUAUUAUUAUUAUUAUUAUUACUAUUAUUUUCUUCACUUCAAAUUAAUAUUUUUUCUUAAUUCAUAUUAAGAUGUGUUUGUAUUAUUUUGAUGUGAUUAUAUAAAAAAUAUAUUUAAAAAAAUUAAAAAAAUAUUAUCUCAAUAUAUUUUUUAAAAAUAUUUUAAGAUAUUUCCAAUUUUAUUUUUUACUCUCUUGAAAAAACAUUUCUUUUUUCUUAUUGAUUUUUUUUUCAAACUGUAAAAAAAAAUUAAAUUAAUGUGACUUUUUUUAUAUUAUACAAAAGUUGGGUGAUGAUAAUUAUUUUUUCAUUUCAGGUGGGGUUGAAUUUUCUUAUUAAAGCAUGUUUGAUUUUGGUUUUCAAAAAUGCUUUGAAAAACAUUUGACAAUUUUUAUUUUUUGUCUUUACUUCAUAUUAUUAUUUUUUCCUUUAAUUGAUAUUAAGAUAUUUUUGUAUUAUUUUGAUGUGAUUAUAUAUAAAAUAGAUUUAAAAAAUAAAAAAAAUUAUCACAAUAUAUUUUUUUAAAAAUAAAAAAUAUUUUAAGAUAUUUCCAAUUUUAUUUUUUUCCCUCUUGAAAUUUGUUUCUUUUCUCUUAUUGAUUUUUUUUUAUACUGUAAAGAGAAAAUAAAUUAAUAUGACCUUUUUUUAUAUUAUACAAAAGUUGGGUGAUGAUAAUUUUUUUUUUCAUUUCAAGUUGAGUUGAAUUUCAUUAUUAAAGCAUGUUUUGUUUUGCGUUUUAAAAAUGCUUUGAAAAAAAUCUGAAAUUUUUUUAUUGUUUUCUUUAUUUUAAAUUAAUGUUUUUUAUGUUUUUAUAUAUAUUUUUAUUUUGUUUUUAAGUAUAUUGAGAUUAGGUCUGGUUGCGCAGUUACAUCCAAUGAGAAUAUAUUAAGUUGGGUCUUGUCCCGAGAAGGACCCAAAAUAGCUUUGGGUCCAGCUGCCGCUAGACCCAUCAGCAUGGGUCCUACCUCUACAAGGACCCAUCAAUAAUUGUUUUUCAUUUUUUUUUUCUUUUCUCUUGGUUUGGGCAGUCUCUUCCAGACCCAAAAAACUUGGGACAGGAAAAGGAGGGCACACCCAAGGGAGCUUGGGUGUGGUUAUGGAGUAGACCCAAAUCCCUUAGGUCUACAACUCCGUUUGACCCAAUAUUAUUGGUCCUUCUUCAGGAUCCAAUUUUUUGGGUCCUGAGUUAGGACCCAAGGCUAAUGUGUCCUGCGUCGGGAUCCAAUGCUCUUGGGUACUGAGUCAGGAUCGAAUUCUCUUGGGCUGUGUUAGGACCCAAAGUUCUUGUGUCCAUCAUCAGAACCCAAGGCUAAUAAGUUCUGCAUUAUGACUCAUGGUUCUUGUGUGUUAGGUUUCUAAAUAUAAUUUUUUGUAUUAUAAAUAUUAUUAUUUUUAUUAUAAUUAAAAGUAUUAAUAUUAAAAAUAGUAUUAUUUGUGUUAUAAAUAUUAUUAUUAUUAUUAAAAUAAUUAAUAAAUUUAAAAAAAAUUAUUAUUUGAUUUGAAGUGUAAAAUUAAUAUUAUUAUUAUUAUUAUUAUUAUUAUUAUUAUUAUUAUUAUUAUUAUUAAAUUUUAAAAAAUUAUUAUUACUAUGAAAGAAAAACCAUAAUGUUUUUUUUUGAAAGAUUAAAAAAAUAAAAUUUUUGACAAACAAGUUAAAUAUUAUUAUUAAUAUUAUAAAUAUUAUUGUUGGGUUUUGCAUUACAGUCAGACUCAACGCUCUUAGAUCCGAUAUUACAGCCACACCCAACGUUUUUAGAUCUUAGAUUUUUAUGAUAUUUUUUUUAUUAAAAUAAUAGGUGAGCCCGCAGCAUUACUCUUACGUAAAAAUUAAUGAGUUAAAAUUGAAAAUGGGUUUGGAUUUCCUUAAUUUUACCCUGGAUUGGAUUAUGUGAAAAAAAAUUAAAAAGUUACCCUAAAUUUUAUAAGUUUAUAAUACUUUAAAUUAAUAAAAAAAAUUAAAGUAUUAUAAGUUUGUCAUUAUAUUAUAUGUUUCACGUCAUUUGGGUUGCCAUUGUCAAAACCAUAGUUAUUAAACCCGGCCCGGGGUUGACCCGGCCAAGAGGCCGGGUCCCGGGUUUCAUAGGUCAACCCGGAAAAAUUAAAAAAAAAAUUAAAGUUUUAAUAUUUCAUAUGAAAAAAUCCAUGUAAAUAUAAAUUAUACAUAUUGUAAACAAUGAAGUUUAAAAGAAUAUUUUAAAAAGGUUUUUAUCCCACAUAAAAAAAAUAUUAUGUUAAGUUUUUAAGUUGAAGUAUUUAAACUAAAAACGUUUUUUAUCCCACAUUGAAAAAACAUGAUUUUUUACUUGGGAACAUAAAGUAUAUAUAACAAUGGGUUUCAAAUCUCACAUUUAAAAAAAAAAACUGGAUCUCGUUCAAGUUUAUCCGGGUCGCCUGAGUCAUGAGUUGACCUGCCGGGUCACCCGGAUUUAGCUGUACUGUUGCCCCAACCAGUCUUUUACUAAACCAAGUAGCAGGGCCAAGUCCUCUUCCUUCGACAUCGAAGCUUCUAUAUGCUUCAAUGCUGUUGAAUUUGCCGACGGCUGUUUUUAAUGAUUCAAUAAUUUAUUAUGAAGAUUAAAUUGCUUGUCACUUAAUGUAAACGGUCUAAAUACAAAUUGCUUAUCGGGAUUCAAACAAUUUUAUCUUAAAAUAUUGCACUAUAAAUCAUGACCUAUAAAUAUUUAAAUUUUUUAAGAUUAAUUUUUUAUUUAUUUAUAAUUAAUUUUAAAUUUAUUAUUUUUUAUAUUAAAAUAAUUAAUUAAUUUGACAAAUUUGUUUAUUAAAUGAUUGUAUCGUUCUUCUGCAUAGAGUCAAAGAUGGCCACCUAGGAAGAACGUCGUUGAAAUGGAUUUUUCACCCUUCAAAUUAAAUUAAAUUAUAAAUAAAUAAAUAAAUCUCAGACACGUGCUUGACUAAGUUUAUUCAUUGGAAUGGUGCGUUCGCAGAUUUGCCCUUGCACUGAAAUAUUGAGGUCAAUUUAGUCUUUUCACGGGAUCCAAAUUAAUCUCAGACACGUACACUUACAAGCAAAAACAAUUAACUUGUAUUCAGGUGCUUUUUUAUCUUUUUAAACUGAUUUUUUUUAUUAUAAUAAAGUUAAUUUACAAGCAAUUUGAUUAUUUAAUAAAUCUAUUUAUAUUAAAAAAAACCUGGCACGUGGGCUUUUCUUAUGCUAUUUGUGUGGCUGGUACCAUGAUGUUUGGAAGGCAAAUAGUGGUUUUCAAGGCGGUGUUGAAAUCGUCUUGACAGUUCUUUCAUGUUUAGGUUACGCUUGUGGUCAACCAAUCUAAGAUUUAGUGCUAAUAACUUUCUUUUUUUCCUUCUUGAUUUCUGCACUUGACCCUCUGAAAUUUAAAACCAGCCUUUCAAAUUAUUUUUUCUUGGAAUUUGAUCUCUUUUCUUGUAAUUAUUAUUUGUUUUAUUUGAAAUAAUUUAUAGAAUUAAAAUUUUUUUCAACUUCAUCAUCCUUCAACUUUUUCAUCUAUUAAAUUUGGUCCUUAUUUAUUCAUUUUAGAUGGUUUUUAGAAUUAAUUUUUUUUCAUGAUUUUAUUCUCCAAUUUUUUUCUAUCAAAUUUUAUCCUCAUUUUCUCCUUUAUUUAAGCUCGGAUCUCUUUAGCUUCAUCAUUCGGUAUUUAUUUAAUAAGAGAUUAGACUCCGUUAUUUUUUUAUUUUAUUUCUAUAGAAACUUUCAUUGGUUAUGAAAAUAACGUGGGUUAUAUUGAGUCUUUUUAUUUGUUGCUCUUUGUUAAAUUUAGCUUUUUUUGAGAAAUUUAAUUUUUUAUUAAAUUAAAUUAAUUAAUUAAAUAUAAGCAUGAAAUGCUCAUUUCAUGAUAUUUUACUUGGUUUUAUUUCUGGUGAUAAGACGGUGUUCACAGACUUUUCCUUCAUUUGCUAUUGGGUCUUAUAUUGGUAACUCAUUUUUUAUAGUUAACUAUUGCAAAAAAAAAUUAUUUUAUUUACCGUUGAUAUCUUUUUUAAUCAUAUUAUUAAAUUAAUCAAGCUUAUUGAAUCAAGUCAAAUUAAUUACCUAAAUCUCAAAUUUGUUUUGCUUCUUUAAAAAUGUUGGCGCCCUUGAAUAUUUUUUUUUGUCAAUUUUUUUUUUAUAUAUCUAUUAUCAUUGUAUUUUUUUUACUCGUAUUAUUUAAAUUAAUCUAACUUAUUAAUUCCCAUAAAAAAUGACUGGAGUCUCAUUAACUUUUUAAAACAUUUUAGAAACAAUUGUGCCAUCUUAGCAUCUUUUUUACCGUUAAAAAAAAAAACUUCAGCCUAUGCAAGCCAUCCAUCUAGUUUCAAUCUAGUACCCCAUUUCCAUUGCUCAUAAGAAUCAGGCUUGAACAUCCUUUUAUUUUGGUUUAGAUAAAUUAAAGAAAUGCCAUUGCAGUGCUCUUUGUUACUUCAAUCUUCUUUUUACCCUAAACUAAGUAGAGUUCCUUCAACACUUUAAAUCUGUGAACAAACUAGGGAAUUCUGGAAAACCAGGUCUGAAUCUGGACACUUGCGCACCGCAUGUCCGAGCAACAGAGGUUUAAAACUAUUGAUUCAAUCUUCAAUAUUCAGUAAAAUGAUAAUUAUUUUGGAAGUCCAAUUAGUAAUAGAAUUUAUUUCUUGCCAUAGAAGAUUUUAGAAUUUUAUUUUCAUUGACCUUGUAUCCACUUUGAAAAGUAGUUUUCCCUAUUUUUUUCCAAGAAAAAGCUUUGAAGAAGGUUCGAAUGCGCCCAAGUCAUAGCAAUGUGACGAGAAUUGUUUAUAAUUCAGUCUUUAGACUGAGGAUUUGAAACUGUAACAACAAUUAAGGAGAAACUCGAAGCGAAAAAAGUUUGUUUUCUUUUACCAAUUAAUGUGUAACUGAAGAAGCAAAAGCAAUCUUCUGCACGUUCUUAUGAUGAUUGCAUCGUUCAAAUCAUUGCACUUUCUACUCGGCCUGUUUGUUUCCUUGAAGCUCUUGGCCUUAGCUCAAGAGGAAAACCACUUCAUCUAUCAUGGCUUCACUGGCGCCAACCUGCUCCUCAGCGAGAAUGCAAAAAUCGAUCCAAAUGGUCUCUUAGAGCUGACAAACACUUCAAAACGGCAAAUUGGCCGUGCUUUCUUCCCAUUCCCUUUUCAGUUCAACACAUCUUUAUUCAACAAUUCUCGGUCUCUCUCGUUCUCUACCCAGUUUGCGUUUGCCAUGGUCCCUGAGCUGCCUACACUUGGUGGCCAUGGCAUGGCCUUCACAAUCUCUCCAUCUGUGGACUUCACAGGGACUAUGGCAACUCAAUACUUUGGAAUCCUCAAUUCUACAAGCAAUGGCCUGUCUUCAAACCAUCUAUUGGCAGUUGAGCUGGAUGCAGUUCCAAGCCCGGAUCUUAAAGACAUCAAUGACAACCACGUUGGAAUUGAUGUAGACAGCUUGAUAUCCAUUGAAUCUGCUCCUGUGACCUACUUUUCAGAUAAGGAAAAGGAGAAUAAGAGCUUGACUCUCACAAGUGGUCACGUGAUGCACGUGUGGAUAGAUUAUGAUGAAGUAGAGAAGCUACUCAAUGUUACCGUUGCUCCUGUCACAAGAACAAAACCAACCUUGCCUCUCUUGUCAACAUCUCUCGAUCUUUCUUCUGUUAUGUUGGAUUCUAUGUACGUUGGUUUUUCUGCAUCUACUGGAGCAGUGGCUAGCAGCCACUAUAUUCUGGGGUGGAGCUUCAACAGAGGCGGACAAGCUCAAAGUCUUGACGCCUCAAAGAAAAUCCAGAAAGAAACCAUAUUUAAGAAUUCUGGUCCCAACAAUAACAGCAAUCAUUUUGCUGGUAGCAUUCUCUGGUGCUGCUUAUAUCAUAAGGAGGAAGAAAUAUGAAGAACUGCGCGAAGAUUGGGAACAGGAGUAUGGUCCUCAAAGAUUCUCCUACAAGGAUUUAUACAAAGCAACUACAGGUUUCACGGACAGGAAGUUGCUGGGAAGUGGAGGUUUUGGAAAGGUUUACAGAGGAGUAUUGCCUUCUUCCAAUAUGCAAGUCGCGAUCAAGAAAGUAUCCCAUGAUUCCAAACAAGGAACUAAGCAGUUUGUUGCUGAGAUUGCUAGCAUGGGAAGGCUGAGGCACAGGAACUUGGUCCAGCUCCUAGGCUAUUGCCGGAGAAAGGGAGAGCUCCUCUUGGUCUAUGAUUACAUGCCCAAUGGAAGCCUUGAUAAACUCCUAUUUCGCAAUGACACACCCAGCCUUAAUUGGGUUCAGCGAUAUCAGGUCCUCAGAGGAGUUGCGUCCGCCCUUCUUUACCUCCAUGAAGAGUGGGAACAGGUUGUUCUGCAUAGAGAUGUGAAAGCUAGCAAUAUACUGUUAGAUGAUGAUUUCAAUGGUCGACUAGGAGAUUUUGGGCUUGCUAAAUUCUAUGAUCGUGGGGCUAAUCCUCAAACAACCUGUGUGGUUGGAACAGUUGGAUAUAUCGCGCCAGAGGUUACUAGAACAGGAAGGGCCACUACCAGCAGUGAUGUUUUUGCUUUUGGCACUUUUAUGCUUGAAAUGGCUUGUGGAAGGAAACCUUUACAGCCAGAACAAUCAGCAGAAAAGAUGAUUUUGGUUGACUGGGUUCUUGAUUCCUGGAAAAUAGGAGACAUUCUUCGAACAGGUGAUCCAAGAUUGGAAGGUAAUUACGAGGUGGAGGAAAUGGAAUUGGUUUUAAGGCUAGGUCUGCUUUGUUCUUUCUCUACACCACAAGCUAGGCCAAGCAUGAGGCAAAUUGCGCAAUAUCUGGAUGGGAAUGCUAGCCUGCCAGAGAUGCCGCUUGAUGUUGCUAGCAUAGGUUUGAUGCCAGUUAGUCAUGAAGAGCCUGGGGGUUUCAACUUGUCUUUCCAUAGAUCUAAUGAUUACUCUGCUCAUUCCUUCUCUAGUACCGACUCAAUCCUCAGCUGUGGUCGUUGAAUCAUGGCUAGAUGAGGUAAAAAUUCUUUAACCUCAAGACUAACAGCUGGCAUGUGGCAAGCCUGGUAUUAGUGGUGAAGAGGAAGGUAGAUUGGAAUACUUAGAAGGUUUGUGCAUGCCGUAGUAAUCCUCAAAGCACCACAAAGACUGCUCCAUGAGGGGUUAAUUAAUUAGCAUAGACCCAAAGUUUGGGUUUUGAGUCACGAUGUAAUUCUUUUUGGCUGUGUCAGGAUACAAAGUUCCUGGGUCGUCAUCAAGACCCAAAGCUAAUAAAUUUUAUAUUAGAAUUUAAGAUUUUGAAUCUUAGGUUUUUAAAUAUAAUUUUUUAUAUUAUAAAUAUUAUUAUUUUUAUUAUAAUUAAAAGUAUUAAUAUUAAAAAUAGUAUUAUUUGUGUUAUAAAUAUUAUUAUUAUUAAAAUAAUUAAUAAAUUUGAAAAACAUUAUUAUCAAUAUUGAAAAACAACCAUGGAUUUGAUUUAAAGUGUAAAAUUAAUAAUAAUAAUAACAACAAUUAUUAUUAUUAUUAUUAUUAUUAUUAUUAUUAUUAUCAUUAAUAAAUUUUAAAAAACUAUUAUUACUAGAAGAAAAACCAUAAUUGUUUUUGAAAGAUUAAAAAAAAUUAAAAUUUUGGGAAACAAGUUAAAUAUUAUUAUUAAUAUUAUAAAUAUUAUUGUUGUGUUUUGCAUUGCAACCGAACUCAACGCUCUUGGAUUCGAUGUUAUAGUCACACUCAAUGUUUUUAGAUCUUAGAUUUUUAUGAUAUUUUUUUAUUAAAAUAAUAGGUGAGCCCGCGGCAUAGCGUUGGCCACCUAACUAGUAAUUACUAAUUCUUAAGUGUUCUAGCUUAAGUAAAAAUUAAUGGGUUAAAAUUGAAAUUGGAUUUGGAUUUCCUUAAUUUUACCCGAGUUACUGGAUUGGAUUAUGUAUAAAAAAUUAAAAAGUUACCCUAAAUUUUAUAAGUUUAUAAUACUUCAAAUUAAUAAAAAAAUUAAAGUAUUAUAAGUUUGUCAUUAUAUUUUAUUUAACUAAAAUCCGGAUACAUCAAAUUAACAAAAAUGCUACUAUACGCACAUCAUCAAGAACAAUCAUCAUUGGGGCUCUAAUUCUCCAUUCAAAAUGCAAAUUCCGUUUUGGGACCAAAUCAUUGCCCAUUCUUCCAUCAUCCCCUCCAUGACCCCUUGUUUAUCUGUUGGCCAUAAGAUCCAUGUUAUUAUCUCUUUCGCGACGCAUUCUCAAGAACCGAAACCUCAAAUCGAACCACAAGUUGCAAAGCCGAAGAGGAAAAGAAAAGCAAAAGCAGGGAGUCCUUAAGUUUCAAACAAAAGAAGAGAUUUUGAGUCGUGGGGCUUUUCACUUCAUGAUCCAAGGUUUUACCUUUAUUUUUGUUUCAGGUCAUUUGGGUUGUCAUUGUCGAAACCACAAGUAGCAGGGCCAAGUCCUCUUCCUUCGACAUCAAAGCUCCUAGAUGCUUCAAUGCUGUUGAAUUUGCCAACGGCUGGUUUAGAUGGCAGUGAGAUAGGGUUUUGCACUGCUACUACAUUCUUCUAUUAAGGGAAAGGCAUUUGUGGCUCACCUACGUUUGUCAUGUCCGUAACAGAGGCAUAAGAUGAGGUGCGGUGCCUGCACAAUCUGGUCCCAACAACAACAGCAAUCAUUUUGCUGGUAGCAAUCUCUGGUGCUGCUUAUAUAAUGAGGAAGAAAUAUGAAGAACUGCGCGAAGAUUGGGAAUGUCACGACCCGAUUCCCGGAUCCAUGACCGCCACAUAGAUAAGGUUCCUCUCCAAGGUUCCAUACCUAUGCGAACCCAAACUUACAUACAAUCUUAUCCUUUAAACAAUUUAAUCAGAGUUCAACCCAGCAUUAACAACAAACUAAUUUUAUAAUAUAAUUUAAUUGUCUUAAUACAAGAGUUAAUAUAAUUUUAUAGUUUUGGAGCACUAACUAGACAUAAAGGAAAAUGUACAAAUUACAACCAAAAGAGCAGGUUUUGAAGAUCCAACAAAAGUGACCUAUUAUCAAGCUAUAAGCCUGAAAAGGUAAAUAAUGAGAGGUUGAGUUCAACAACUCAGUGAGUAGAUAACGUUCAAUAUACACACACGAGGUAAUACAACAAUGAGAAAUAUAUAUACAAGUAUGACUUUAGGUUCUUAUAUAAAUGUUUUUCAAAAUGGCCAUAAUAAGAAGAUCAUAUGGUAAAACUCGUCAGAAAAUCAAAAUGCAAUGAGCAUGAGGCUCCGUACUGUAGGAUGAUCAGUCCACACAGGUUGGUGACUCCCCCGACCAACUAGGGUUCAGAUACGAUGUGCACAAAGACUAACACUACCAUGUUAGCAUGGGUAUUCUGACUGACAUACCAUAAAUUCAUAAUCAUAAUCAAACAGACAUAUUCAUAUCUCAAGGCUCAGCUCAUGACAUCAAUCAAAUGAGGAGCUAUCAAUUCAGAAGUCAAUUCAAAAUAUAUACUGGUUUAUAUCCAGAAUUCAGAUUCAACAAUUGAUCAUAUAUAUAUAUAUAUAUUAUCAAGAAGCAUGAUCCAAUUCAUAAUAACAAAUCAAAUAUUUAUAAUAUUUCUCAUGUAUAUGAAAAAUUAUCCACUCACCUGACUCGAAAGCAAAUAGCACUCAAAAGCCGAUACCGAAGGUAAUCCCACUAAUGUCCCGCUGGUAGAAUAUCAUGAUUAUCUGAUUACAAAGGAGACAUAUUCAAGAAUGACUCAAAAGAAUAUAUAUAACCUAUUUAAUACACUUAUCUAAGGGUGUAUUCCAUAACUCUAUAUGUUUUUAGACUAAACUAGUUAUUUUCCCAGAAACCCAAAAAUUAACGGUUUUCCUGAAAUAUAAUCCAUAAUAAAACAAAUAAUAAAAUUGAUAAUAAUUCACUAUAUAACCCUCAAUUAUUCAUCAAACCAAUCUGCAAAAGCUAAUAUUACAGCUAUGGACCAAUUUGUAAUUUAUCAUAUUUCUAAGGGUCAAAUUGUAACUUUUGUCAAAUUGAAGGACCAAACUAAAAAUAUCAUAAAUUUAUCACUAUACUGAAAUUCUGACCAUAAUUAAUCCUCAAUUCUGUCCAGAAUAUCUCAUUAUGCUCCAGGGACCAUUCUGGAAUUUUACCAAAUUGUUAGGGUCAAAUUGUAAUUUUUGUCAAAUUGAAGGACCAAAUUGAAAGUGUUAAAAUUUCAUAACUAUACAGGAAUUCUGCCCAUGAUUUAUCUUUUGUUCUGUUCAGAAUCUCGAAAUAUGCUCAAGGGACCAAUCUGUAAUUUUCCCAAGUUUGGGGAAAAACUGUAAUUUUCACAAAUUGAGGGACCAAACAAAAUUUUGUCAUCUUCAACCUCAAACCCAGAAUUUUCACAGAUUACCUACUGUUCUUUCCAGAUUUCUAACUCAAAAUUCACCAUUUACACAAAUCAUCAUCUUUACCUACAAUCUCUCAAAAUCAACUAAACAAUCCAUUACCCACAACAAUCAACCCAUAACAUUCAAAUUAAUUCAUCAAUUAAACCCAAAACAAAAUCUUCAAAACCCUAACAUUCAUCAAAACCGAAAUUUAAAGCUUAUAUAACACAUAUUUAUACAUAAUCUUACCUUUAAACUUAUUUCCUCCAACUCAUUUCUAAUUUUCUUCUAAUUUUCUUCUUUUCUCUUUUUCUUCUUCUUUCUCCCUUCUCUCCUGCCGUCCCUCACACUGAAAUUUCAGAUCCCUCUUUCCCUUUUUUUUUUUUACUUUCUAUUUAUAUUUAUCAUCUCUUUAUUCAAUUACUACUAUACCCUUCAUUAAUUUAUUCCUACAUCUAAGCCUUCAAGGCUUUGUAGUCUUUUCCUAUCUCUUUUAAUUCAAAACAUUACAGGGAACAGGAAUAUGGUCCUCAAAGAUUCUCCUACAAGGAUUUAUACAAAGCAACUACAGGUUUCACAGACAGGAAGUUGCUGGGAAGUGGAGGCUUUGGAAAGGUUUACAGAGGAGUAUUGCCUUCUUCCAAUAUGCAAAUCGCGACCAAGAAAGUAUCCCAUGAUUCCAGGCAAGGAAGUAAGGAAUUCGUUGCUGAGAUUGUUAGCAUGGGAAGGCUGAGGCACAGGAACUUGGUCCAGCUCUUCGGCUAUUGCCAGCGAAAGGGAGAGCUCCUCUUGGUCUAUGAUUAUAUGCCCAAUGGAAGCCUAGAUAAACUCCUAUUUCGCAAUGAGACACCCAGCCUUAAUUGGGCUCGGCGAUAUCAAAUCAUCAGGGGAGUUGCGUCUGCCCUUCUUUAAAGGGCACGUUUGGGAACGCGGCUGCGGCUGCGUUCCUAAAAUUUGAAAUUUUUUUUUUUUUUUUACUAAAAUUUAAUAUGGUUUGGAUCGUUUUGAUGUGCUGAUGUCAAAAAUGAUUUUUAAAAAAUUAAAAAACAUCAUUGGCAUGCAUUUUGGCACAAAAAGUUAUUUGAAAAGCACCCGCAAUCACACUGUAAAAAAUGCUCUUUACCUCCAUGAAGAGUGGGAACAAGUUGUUCUGCAUAGAGAUGUAAAAGCUAGCAAUGCUUCAUGGAGGAUUGAUUACGUAAAUAUGUACAUUAAGACUUGUUCGAUGUGAAAUAUAGAGGAAGGUGCCACAGAAUUUUGAAGAUUGUAGCGUUUCUGCAAUUUUUUUCCAGCCACUUUGUCUUGUGAGCUCUUACCAUAGAACAGUCACCCUCCCUGCAGACCGUAAGCCCAGAGGUAAGGAGGGCUUCUAUACAAAUAUUUCUUAACUAGCAGAAUUAAUAGAUUUAUGGAAACAUAUAACAAAUUCUAUUUAAACUUAGCAUGCAUUGCCAAUCGAUCCUGGUUGAUUAUUGUGAUAUUUGUUGAUUAAAGUCAAUCGAUGAUGGUUGAUUUAUGGUUUAUCAAGUUAGUUUUGGAUUGAUGUCUUAAACAUCAAAUAAAUAAUAAAUUAUAUAAACAAAAUAGAUGUAUUUACUUGCUAAAGAAUUAUAUACAAACAAAGAAAGCAGGUUAUGUUGCUGUAAAUUAAUGAUUCAAUUAUUUAUUAUAAAUGUUAAAUUUCUUGUUUUAAUGUAAACAGUCUCAAUAUAUAUAAACUGCUUUUCAGGAUUCAAAUAACAUUACUUUAAAAUAUUGCACUAUAAAUCAAGGCCUAAAUGUUUUUAAAAAAUAAUAAUUAAAUGACCUCACUAAUCAAGCGUAUUAAUUCAUGUAUUGGUAAAAAAUAUUUUAUAAUUAACUCAAGUUCUAGUCAAGCACGUCAUUUAAGCUCAAAAUCUACAUUGUCUAGAGUCUCUCUCGUCUAAAAACUUUUGUGUGUUAUAAGCUAAUUUAAAUAUUCAACUUCUUACUAUAUAAGUUACAAGAUCUUAUAAUCUUUCAAUUUAGAAUUAAUGUUAUUUAAAUUUUUUAAUAUUAAUUUCUUAUUUAUUCAUAAUUUAUUUUAAACAUAUUAAUUUUUAUGUUAAAAUAAUUAAUUAAUUUGGGGAAUAUUUUUUAAAAAUGGUUGGUUAAUUCAAAUGAUCCCCAUAAAUCUUGUCAUUGUUUCUUAAAAUUGAUAAAAUUAUAGAACUCAAAUCCUACUUAAUCAAAAAAGAAAAAAAAAAAAAAGGACGAGAGCUAAAUGGCCAGAGGCAUAAGUGGAGCGGAUUUAAGGAUAAGCGUAUGAUAAGAAUAAUUCGUGUGCUAUGUAUGCAUCUUACCACUAGGAGACGGGACGAGAGCCACGCCAACACAUUAGGUGUUACUUGCUCCACCUCAAGCUUCUUUCUUAGCCAUUAAGUGUCGGUUACGAUUUUUAUAAGUGUCGUAAUCGUUGUUUUUAAAGUAUUUUUAAUUUAAAAAUAUAUUAAAAUAAUAUUUUUUUAUUUUUUAAAAAUUAUUUUUUAUAUCAACAUAUAAUAAUAAUCUAAAAAUAAAAAAAAAUAUUAAUUAUAAAUAAAGCCCUGUGGUUACUCAUAUGAUGGCCACUGGAGGCUUACAUGGUCGUUAACUUCAGGACCCGUGAGAUUAGUCAAGGUGCGCGCAAGCUGGCCCGGACACCUACGUUAAACUAAAAAAAAAAACCCAAAGUAGACUAAAAAUUUAGAGUUAGCAUUGAGACUCAAUCAGAGAGCCCACUUCGACCAUCCUUCAAAGAUUAGAGUUGUUGAUAAAUUGACUGGAUAUUUGGAGUUUGGUUGUGAUUGUUUUUUGAAAUAUUUUUUAUUUAAAAAUAUAUUAAAAUAAUAUUUUUUAUUUUUUAAAAAAUAUUUUUAACAUCAAAAUGAUCUAAAAACACUAAAAAAUAUUAAUUUAAAGUAAAAAAAAUAAAAUAAAAAUUAAUUUUUUUUAAAACUAUUUUUAAAAUACAAGAAUAAAUAAUACAUUUGCAUUAAAGACAGAAUUGUCAUUUUCAAUUAGCUAUCAAUAUUUAACAAGGAGCAGUGCUUUUUCUAAGAUGGGAUCGUUCUUUUGUAUAAAGUCAAAGAUGGCCACCUAGAAAUAACGUCUUUGAAAUGGAAUUUUCGUGUUAUGGUCACCCUUUAAAUUAAAUUAAAUUAAAAAUAAAUAAAUAAAUGCCGACACAUACUUGACCAAGUUUAUUCAUUGGAAUGGUGCAUUUGCAGAUUUGCCCUUAUGCACUGAAAUAUUGAGGUUUAAUUUAGUCUGGGAUCCAUUUAUCUUUAUCAAAUUCAUCAAGAGCAAAAAGAUCUUCACAUGUUAUUUUUUUCACUCUAAAAUGACAAAAAAGCCUUUAAGAGAAAGGAAUUAUUAAACUAGUUUUCAAGGGCUUAUUUGUCCUUACACUUUCUUAACCGUAGUAAAAAACUGAUGUACACUUGCAAGCAAAAAUAAUUAACCUGCAUUGGCUUUUUCAUCUUUUCAAACUAGUAUUUUUUAUUAUAAUGAAGUUGAUUUAAAUGUAAUUUUAUCAUUUAAUAAAUAUAAAUAUUAAAAAAACAAAUGGACACAUGAGCUUUUUCUAGUGUUAUUUGUGUGGCCUGAAAGAUGAUGUUUGGGGCAAAUAGUGGCUUUCAAGAUAGUGUUGGAAUCGUCUUUACAGACCCUCUAUGUGUAGGCUAUAUUUAUGGCCAACUAAUCUAAGAUUUGGCAUUAAUGAUUUUUUUUUCUUCUCCUCAAUUUCCACACCUGACCUUCUAGAUUUUAAAAUCAGCCUUUCAAUUUGUUUUUUCUUUGAGUUUGGUCUCUUUUCUUUUUAUUACUAUUUGUUUUAUUUGAAAUAAUUUAUAAAAUUGGAAUUCUUUUCAACUUGAUCCUCCCUCAAUUUUUUCAUCUAUUAAAUUUGAUCAUCAUUCUUUUGAUUGAUAUUUAUUUGUUUUAAAUGGUUUUUUAAAUUGAACUUUCUUUUUUUACGAUUUUAUCCUCCUUCAAUAUUUUUCCUAUCAAAUUUUAUCCUCAUUUUCUCAUUCUUUUUUUUUAAGCUCGUGUUUCUUUAGUUUCAUCAUUCGAUAUUUAUUUAAUUAGAGAUUGGGCUCCGUUAUUUUUUUAUUUUAUUUUAGUAAAAACUUUCAUUGGUUUUAAAAAUGACAUGGGUUGUCUUGAGUUUUUUUAUUUGUCACUCUUUGUUAAAUUUAGCCUUUUUUUGGGGAAAUUUUAUUUUUUCUUAAAUUAAAUUAAAUUAUUUGAUUGAAUAUAAGCAUGAGUUACUCACUUCAUGAUAUUUUAUUUGGUUUUCUUUCUAGUGGUAAGGCGGUGUCCACGGUGAAAUGAUGAUGAAUCCCCAACAAGCUUUUCCUUCAUUUGCUCUCGGGUAUUAUAUUGGCAACUAUUUUUUUAUAGUUAACUAUUGCCAAAAAAAUUUGUUUUAUUUCCCAUCAAUAUUAUUAAAUUAAUCGAACUUAUUAAAUCCAAAUUUGUUUUGCUUUUUUAAAAACAUUGGCGCCCUCGAACAUUCUUUUUUUUUUUUGUCAAUUUGUUUUUCAAUUUAGCUAUUAUUGUUGCAUUUUUUAUUUGUAUUAUUUAAAUUAGCUUAGCUUAUUAAUUCCAGAAAAAAAAUGACUCAAGUCUUAUAUUUUUUUUUUACUUUUUAGAAACAAUUGUGUCGUCUUAGCAUCUUUUUUAACAUUAAAAAAAAAAUUCAGCCAGCACAAGCCACCCAUCUAGUUUGCAAUCUACGACCCCAUUUCCAUUUGCUCAUAAGAAUCAGGCUUGAACAUCCUUUUAAGUUUAGAUAAAUUAAAGAAAUGCCACCCAGUGCUCUUUGUCACUUCAAUCUUCUUUUUACCCUAAAUUAAGUACAGUUCCUUCAACACUUCAAAUCUGUGAACAAACAGAGAUUUAAAACUAUUGAUUCAAUCUUCAAUAUUCAGUAAAAUGAUAAUUAUUUUGGAAGUCCAAUUAGUAAUAGAAUUUAUUUUCUUGCCAUAGAAGAUUUUAGAAUUUUAUUUUCUUUGACCUUGUAUCCACUUUGAAAAGUAGUUUUCCCUAUUUUUUUCUAAGAAAAAGCUUUGGAGGGUUCGAGGGGCCCAAGUCAUAGCAAUGUGACGAGACUUGUUUAUAAUUCAGUCUUUAGACUGAGGAUUUGAAACUGUAACUGAAGAAGCAAAUAAGGAGAAACUCGAAGCGAAAAAAGUUUGUUUUCUUUUACCAAUGUGUAACUGAAGAAGCAAAAACAAUCUUCUGCACGUUCUUAUGAUGAUUGCAUCGUUCAAAUCAUUGCACUUUCUACUCGGCCUGUUUGUUUCCUUGAAGCUCUUGGCCUUAGCUCAAGAGGAAAACCACUUCAUCUAUCAUGGCUUCACUGGCGCCAACCUGCUCCUCAGCGAGAUUGCAAAAAUCCAUCCAAAUGGUCUCUUAGAGCUGACAAACACUUCAACACAGCAAAUUGGCCGUGCUUUCUUCCCAUUCCCUUUUCAGUUCAACACAUCUUUAUUCAACAAUUCUCGGUCUCUCUCCUUCUCUACCCAGUUUGCGUUUUCCAUGGUCCCGGAGCUGCCUACCCUUGGUGGCCAUGGCAUGGCCUUCACGAUCUCUCCAUCUGUGAACUUCACAGGGGCUUGGGCAACUCAGUACUUGGGAAUCCUCAAUUCUACAAGCAAUGGCCUGUCUUCAAACCAUCUAUUGGCAGUUGAGCUGGAUGCAAUUCGAAGCCUGGAUUUUAAAGACAUCAAUGACAACCACGUUGGAAUUGAUGUAAACGACUUGACAUCCAUUGAAUCUGCUCCGGUGACCUACUUUUCAGGUGAGGAAAACGAGAAUAAGAGCUUGGCUCUCAUAAGUGGUCUUGUGAUGCACGUGUGGAUAGAUUACGAUGAAGUAGAGAAGCUACUCAAUGUUACGGUUGCUCCUAUCACAAGAACAAAACCAACCUUGCCUCUCUUGUCAACACCGCUCGAUCUUUCUUCUGUUAUGUUGGAUUCUAUGUACGUUGGUUUUUCUUCAUCUACUGGAGCAGUGGCUAGCAGCCACUAUAUUCUGGGGUGGAGCUUCAACAGAGGCGGACAAGCUCAAAGUCUUGAUGUGUCAAAGUUGCCUUCACUUCCCCAUCAAAGAAAAUCAAGGAAGAAAUCACAUUUAAGAAUUCUGGUCCCAGCAAUAACAGCAGUCAUUUUGCUGGUAGCAAUCUCUGGUGCUGCUUAUAUAAUAAGGAGUAAGAAAUAUGAAGAACUGCGCGAAGAUUGGGAACAGGAGUAUGGUCCUCAAAGAUUCUCCUACAAGGAUUUAUACAAAGCAACUACAGGUUUCACGGACAGGAAGUUGGUGGGAAGUGGAGGUUUUGGAAAGGUUUACAGAGGAGUAUUGCCUUCUUCCAAAAUGCAAGUCGCGAUCAAGAAAGUAUCCCAUGAUUCCAUACAAGGAACUAAGCAGUUUGUUGCUGAGAUUGUUAGCAUGGGAAGGCUGAGGCACAGGAACUUGGUCCAGCUCCUAGGCUAUUGCCGGAGAAAGGGAGAGCUCCUCUUGGUCUAUGAUUACAUGCCCAAUGGAAGCCUUGAUAAACUCCUAUUUCGCAAUGACACACCCAGCCUUAAUUGGGUUCAGCGAUAUCAGGUCCUCAGAGGAGUUGCGUCUGCCCUUAUUUACCUCCAUGAAGAGUGGGAACAGGUUGUUCUGCAUAGAGAUGUGAAAGCUAGCAAUAUACUGUUAGAUGAUGAUUUCAAUGGUCGACUAGGAGAUUUUGGGCUUGCUAAAUUCUAUGAUCGUGGGGCUAAUCCUCAAACAACCUGUGUGGUUGGAACAGUUGGAUAUAUCGCGCCAGAGGUUACUAGAACAGGAAGGGCCACUACCAGCAGUGAUGUUUUUGCUUUUGGCACUUUUAUGCUUGAAAUGGCUUGUGGAAGGAAACCUGUAGAGCCAGAACAAUCAGCAGAAAAGAUGAUUUUGGUUGACUGGGUUCUUGAUUCCUGGAAAAUAGGAGACAUUCUUCGAACAGGUGAUCCAAGAUUGGAAGGUAAUUACGUGGUGGAGGAAAUGGAAUUGGUUUUAAGGCUAGGUCUGCUUUGUUCUUUCUCUACACCACAAGCUAGGCCAAGCAUGAGGCAAAUUUCGCAAUAUCUGGAUGGGAAUGCUAGCCUGCCAGAGAUGCCUCUUGAUGGUGCUAGCAUAGGUUUGAUGCCAGUUAGUCAUGAAGAGCCUGGGGAUUUCACCUUGUCUUUCCAUAGAUCUAAUGAUUACUCUGCUCAUUCCUUCUCUAGUACCGACUCAAUCCUCAGCUGUGGUCGUUGAAUCAUGGCUUAACGAGGUAAAAAUUCUUUAACCUAAAGACUAACAGCUGGCAUGUGGCAAGCCUGGUAUUAGUGGUGAAGAGGAAGGUAGAUUGGAAUACUUAGAGGGUUACCUUGUUUGUGCAUACCAUAGUAAUCCUCAAAACACAACAAAGACUGCUCCAUGAGGGGUUAAUUAAUUAGCAUACAAACAUAGGUAUAAUUUAUGAUUUAAGCAAAACACAUGGUUGAAAUAGUACAAUGUUUGAUGAA